This 275-nucleotide ribosomal RNA is filed under the name Rhipicephalus turanicus. RNAcentral's name for it is "partial 16S ribosomal RNA". Lineage: Eukaryota; Metazoa; Arthropoda; Arachnida; Ixodida; Ixodidae. The record is from RNAcentral.
GGUAUUUUGACUAUACAAAGGUAUUGAAAUAAGAUUCUAAUUGAAUGCUAAGAGAAUGGAAACCCAGAAAAAAACUUUUUUUAAAUUAAAAAUUGAAAUUUUUUUAAUUUGUGCAGAAACAAUUAUUAAUAUUAAGGACAAGAAGACCCUAUGAAUUUAUAAAAUUCUAUUCAAUAUGUUAUUGCUGUUGUAGAAUUUUUGGCUGGGGCGGCUAAAAAAUAUUUUAAACUUUUUAAAAGUAAAAUGAUCCAUUAUUAAUGAUUACAUGUGAAAUA